GCGGGGAUGGCGGAAUUGGUAGACGCGCCAGACUUAGGAUCUGGUGCUGCAAGGCGUGAGGGUUCGAGUCCCUCUCUCCGCA
RNAcentral lists this transfer RNA (82 nucleotides) under seawater metagenome. Its description in RNAcentral is "tRNA-Leu". It matches the Rfam family "tRNA". From Rfam's summary of the family: Transfer RNA (tRNA) molecules are approximately 80 nucleotides in length. Their secondary structure includes four short double-helical elements and three loops (D, anti-codon, and T loops). The record is from RNAcentral.